This 26-nucleotide non-coding RNA is filed under the name Homo sapiens (human). The record is from RNAcentral. Lineage: Eukaryota; Metazoa; Chordata; Mammalia; Primates; Hominidae.
UAGGUGUCAAGCUUACAGGAAGGAUG